UGCAGUCGAACGACUCUGGUAUUGAUUGGUGCUUGCAUCAUGAUUUACAUUUGAGUGAGUGGCGAACUGGUGAGUAACACGUGGGAAACCUGCCCAGAAGCGGGGGAUAACACCUGGAAACAGAUGCUAAUACCGCAUAACAACUUGGACCGCAUGGUCCGAGUUUGAAAGAUGGCUUCGGCUAUCACUUUUGGAUGGUCCCGCGGCGUAUUAGCUAGAUGGUGGGGUAACGGCUCACCAUGGCAAUGAUACGUAGCCGACCUGAGAGGGUAAUCGGCCACAUUGGGACUGAGACACGGCCCAAACUCCUACGGGAGGCAGCAGUAGGGAAUCUUCCACAAUGGACGAAAGUCUGAUGGAGCAACGCCGCGUGAGUGAAGAAGGGUUUCGGCUCGUAAAACUCUGUUGUUAAAGAAGAACAUAUCUGAGAGUAACUGUUCAGGUAUUGACGGUAUUUAACCAGAAAGCCACGGCUAACUACGUGCCAGCAGCCGCGGUAAUACGUAGGUGGCAAGCGUUGUCCGGAUUUAUUGGGCGUAAAGCGAGCGCAGGCGGUUUUUUAAGUCUGAUGUGAAAGCCUUCGGCUCAACCGAAGAAGUGCAUCGGAAACUGGGAAACUUGAGUGCAGAAGAGGACAGUGGAACUCCAUGUGUAGCGGUGAAAUGCGUAGAUAUAUGGAAGAACACCAGUGGCGAAGGCGGCUGUCUGGUCUGUAACUGACGCUGAGGCUCGAAAGUAUGGGUAGCAAACAGGAUUAGAUACCCUGGUAGUCCAUACCGUAAACGAUGAAUGCUAAGUGUUGGAGGGUUUCCGCCCUUCAGUGCUGCAGCUAACGCAUUAAGCAUUCCGCCUGGGGAGUACGGCCGCAAGGCUGAAACUCAAAGGAAUUGACGGGGGCCCGCACAAGCGGUGGAGCAUGUGGUUUAAUUCGAAGCUACGCGAAGAACCUUACCAGGUCUUGACAUACUAUGCAAAUCUAAGAGAUUAGACGUUCCCUUAGGGGACAUGGAUACAGGUGGUGCAUGGUUGUCGUCAGCUCGUGUCGUGAGAUGUUGGGUUAAGUCCCGCAACGAGCGCAACCCUUAUUAUCAGUUGCCAGCAUUAAGUUGGGCACUCUGGUGAGACUGCCGGUGACAAACCGGAGGAAGGUGGGGAUGACGUCAAAUCAUCAUGCCCCUUAUGACCUGGGCUACACACGUGCUACAAUGGAUGGUACAACGAGUUGCGAACUCGCGAGAGUAAGCUAAUCUCUUAAAGCCAUUCUCAGUUCGGAUUGUAGGCUGCAACUCGCCUACAUGAAGUCGGAAUCGCUAGUAAUCGCGGAUCAGCAUGCCGCGGUGAAUACGUUCCCGGGCCUUGUACACACCGCCCGUCACACCAUGAGAGUUUGUAACACCCAAAGUCGGUGGGGUAACCUUUUAGGAACCAGCCGCCUAAGG
This 1439-nucleotide ribosomal RNA is filed under the name Lactiplantibacillus plantarum. Its description in RNAcentral is "bacterial SSU rRNA". It matches the Rfam family "Bacterial small subunit ribosomal RNA". Lineage: Bacteria; Bacillati; Bacillota; Bacilli; Lactobacillales; Lactobacillaceae. The record is from RNAcentral.